Molecule: ribosomal RNA, 497 nt
Filed under: uncultured bacterium
Lineage: Bacteria
Description: partial 16S ribosomal RNA
Rfam family: Bacterial small subunit ribosomal RNA
Source: RNAcentral
GAUGAACGCUGGCGGCGUGCCUAACACAUGCAAGUCGAGCGAAAAGACGAGGAGCUUGCUCCUCUGACGUUAGCGGCGGACGGGAGAGUAACACGUGGAUACCCUACCUAUAAGACUGGGAUCACUUCGGGAAACCGGAGCUAAUACCGGAUAAUAUAUUGAACCGCAUGGUUCAAUAGUGAAAGACUGUUUUGCUGUCACUGAUAGAUGGAUCCGCGCCGCAUUAGCUAGUUGGUCAGGUAACGGCUUACCAAGGCGACGAUGCGUAGCCGACCUGAGAGGGGGAUCGGCCACACUGGAACUGAGACACGGUCCAGACUCCUACGGGAGGCAGCAGUAGGGAAUCUUGGGCAAUGGGCGAAAGCCUGACGGAGCAACGCCGCGUGAGUGAUGAAGGUCUUCGGGUCGUAAAACUCUGUUAUUCGGGAAGAACAAAUGUGUACGUAACUAUGGACGUCUUGACGGUACCGAAUGAAAAAGCACCGGCUAACUACGUG